This is a non-coding RNA of Vicia faba (fava bean), 228 nucleotides long. NCBI's taxonomy places the organism in Eukaryota, Viridiplantae, Streptophyta, Magnoliopsida, Fabales, Fabaceae. The record is from the annotation of a GenBank genome assembly.
AUGAGACUUAUUGCAACGUCUUAUGGAGACUCUGAUGGACCAAUUCAUGCAGCUUAUUCAGAACCUCGCAUAUGGACAGGAAGAGUUGAUCUUAACCAAAUGGAGGUUCCUUUGAAUCUAAAUGUAAGAAACAUCGUUCAAAUUCCUGUCAAUGAAGCUUCACACCAUGAGAAUAUUUCUGAACCGCCAUAUGAAACCUUCAAGUUUUCGAUUCAUGGGACAGUCUGA